This 433-nucleotide ribosomal RNA is filed under the name uncultured bacterium. RNAcentral's name for it is "partial 16S ribosomal RNA". It matches the Rfam family "Bacterial small subunit ribosomal RNA", at positions 29 to 507 of the family's 1533-position model. The record is from RNAcentral.
AGCGAACGCUGGCGGCAGGCUUAACACAUGCAAGUCGAGCGGGCACUUCGGUGUCAGCGGCAGACGGGUGAGUAACACGUGGGAACGUACCCUUUGGUUCGGAAUAACGCCGGGAAACUAGCGCUAAUACCGGAUACGCCCUUUUGGGGAAAGGCUUGCUGCCGAAGGAUCGGCCCGCGUCUGAUUAGCUAGUUGGUGGGGUAAUGGCCUACCAAGGCGACGAUCAGUAGCUGGUCUGAGAGGAUGAUCAGCCACACUGGGACUGAGACACGGCCCAGACUCCUACGGGAGGCAGCAGUGGGGAAUAUUGGACAAUGGGCGCAAGCCUGAUCCAGCCAUGCCGCGUGAGUGAUGAAGGCCUUAGGGUUGUAAAGCUCUUUUGUCCGGGACGAUAAUGACGGUACCGGAAGAAUAAGCCCCGGCUAACUUCGUG